This 529-nucleotide ribosomal RNA is filed under the name Halobacillus trueperi. RNAcentral's name for it is "bacterial SSU rRNA". It matches the Rfam family "Bacterial small subunit ribosomal RNA", at positions 34 to 525 of the family's 1533-position model. The record is from RNAcentral. Lineage: Bacteria; Bacillati; Bacillota; Bacilli; Caryophanales; Bacillaceae.
UGAGCCGCUGGCGGCGUGCCUAAUACAUGCAAGUCGAGCGCGGGAAGCGAGUGGAUCCCUUCGGGGUGAAGCUCGUGGAACGAGCGGCGGACGGGUGAGUAACACGUGGGCAACCUGCCUGUAAGAUCGGAAUAACCCCGGGAAACCGGGGCUAAUGCCGGGUAAUACUUUCUUUCGCAUGAAGGAAAGUUGAAAGAUGGCUUCUCGCUAUCACUUACAGAUGGGCCCGCGGCGCAUUAGCUAGUUGGUGAGGUAACGGCUCACCAAGGCGACGAUGCGUAGCCGACCUGAGAGGGUGAUCGGCCACACUGGGACUGAGACACGGCCCAGACUCCUACGGGAGGCAGCAGUAGGGAAUCUUCCGCAAUGGACGAAAGUCUGACGGAGCAACGCCGCGUGAACGAUGAAGGUCUUCGGAUCGUAAAGUUCUGUUGUUAGGGAAGAACAAGUACCGUGCGAAUAGAGCGGUACCUUGACGGUACCUAACGAGGAAGCCCCGGCUAACUACGUGCCAGCAGCCGCGGUAAUA